UCAAUGAACAUCAUCCUGCAAAGAUUUUGUGUGACCUGGUUUUGGAUGGGAUAGAGAUAAUUUUCUUCAUAGUGGCUGGUGUGGAGCUGUGUUUUGGAUUUUGGGUGAGAAUAACAUUGAUAACACACCAAUAAACAUACUAGUUGUUGCAGAACAGUGCUUACACUGAGACAAAGACUUUUCUGCUUCUCACACUGUCCUGCCAGUGAGGAGACUGAGAGUUCACAAAAAGUUGCACGGGGGCAGAACCAGGACAGCCAAUCCAAACUGGCCAAAGAAAUGUCCCAUACUACAUGGCAUCAUGCUGAACAAUAGAACUAGGCUGGGGGGCGUAACACUGCUUGAGGACCGGCUGGGCAUCAGUUAGUGGGUGGUGAGUAAUUGCAAUGUGUAUUACUUGUUUUUCAUACUAUUAUUAUUGUUAUUUUAACUUCCUUCUCUGUCCUAUUAAACUAUUUUUAUUUUAACCCAUGAGUUUUAUCUUUUUACAAAUCUCUCCUCCAUCCCACUGUGGGGGAGUGUGUGAACAGCUGUGUGGUGCUGAGCUGCUUGCUGGGUUAAACCAACAAUUUGUUAGGCUCCACUUCUUCCUCUAGCAGUCCUAUUUUACUAUUUAAAAGUAAGGUAUAAAUUUAAAAGCAAGUUAUGUAAUUUCUUUUCCACUGAUAUGUUUUAUCAUUUCUUAGUGCAGGAGCCAAGACAAACUCUGAAGAUAUAAAGACAGGGAGGAAAACAGUGCAAAUUCAUAACAGUUUUGUGAAAAAUGAAUGCAAAGUAUUGGAUAAUGGGAUAACUUCACCUUUUCAUUACCAAGCUGAAGGCAGAAGUGAAACAGAAACUAGACCUUGCUACCACAGAGUGCUCUGUCAUCACCUACCAGCCACACUAACUUGGAAUAUCCUUAAAAAAGCUGGAAAUGCUACAGAGAAGUGUGUUGGAAUUAAAUCCUGGCAGAACUGGGGAUAACAGAAUAAAAUAUAUAGGAAGAGACCUUUAUGUUUUUUU
RNAcentral lists this long non-coding RNA (1005 nucleotides) under Numida meleagris (helmeted guineafowl). Its description in RNAcentral is "lncRNA (ENSNMEG00000010685.1)". The record is from RNAcentral. Lineage: Eukaryota; Metazoa; Chordata; Aves; Galliformes; Numididae.